Long non-coding RNA from Struthio camelus australis, 1837 nucleotides. Lineage: Eukaryota; Metazoa; Chordata; Aves; Struthioniformes; Struthionidae. The record is from Ensembl.
GCCCUUUUCUGCCUCCGCCGCCGAUCCGGGGAUGGGAACGGGCUCUGGCCCCCUCGCCCGCUCUGAGGCUUCUUUGGGGCUGUUUUUUUGGGGGGAGGGGGUAUAUAAAUCUGUGCUGAACGUUUGCGGUUGAAUGCCAGGAGUCCGACGUUCAGCUCCGUCGGAUACCACAGGCACACACACACCCGAGGGGUGGGGGGAAGGAGAAGAGGGAGGCAGUCAUCAGGCCCCCUUUCUUCCCUUCUUACCCCCUCCCUCCAAAAAGCCCUUUUGAGCAUCUUGCCAUCAGGAAAGCGCUCACUCCCUCAUCAAGGAAAGCAUCUAGGAAAGCAUGAAAACGCAGUGCUCAGACUUCACAAGUGUGUCAUAGCACUGGGGAAAUCCUUGGUGAAAGCUGCCUGGGAACUGUCAUUUCAGAGAUGGCGUGGAAGGUGUCAAGAAAGAAAGAAAGCAAAGAAAAAGAAGACUAACAGAAAAAUCUGUCACCUCCUAAAUCAGAGUGACAACUUCAGCACAGUGUUUACUCAUGGCAGUAAAAAUAAAUUGUCUGAGACUGAUUGUACCCACAUGCCACUCGCUACGCAACAGGGAUGUCCCCCGGUAUCGGAAACCAGAUGUGAGGAAACACAUGACAAUGGCAAUAGUCGUCAGCGUGGCAGCGGCAGUGACAGGGCUGCUUUCCUUCCAGUUGUAAUAAGUGAAAACAGCGAGAGGGAAGAGCGAUGUGUCACUGCUUCCCGCCACACCAAUGCACUUGCGUGGAGAGGGAAGAGUGACUUUCAAGAGUCCCAGCAAGGCGCACGGGCGAAUGAGCAAACGGGCAAACAAGCGAUUUGAGUGUAUCUUCAAGCCUUGAUAAAAUAAGCCUGCAUAUGCACAAAGUCUCCUCCUCACUUCCUCGGGGGAAAAAUAUCUGACAGUGGGGAUCCACUCCUGAGCGUCCAGGCUGCGACCUGGGGGUCCGUGACCCCAUCCUUGGUUUUCUUCUGAAGCCCUCACCAUCUCCUCCAGCUCAGGCCAGACCUGCCAGAGCCUGAGGCAAUAGCAGAGGAACCUCCGCUUCUUAAAGUACUACUCAGAAAAGCAUCCCAGUUUGGCACUGGGACAAGACGAGAGCGCUCUUUUCUCAUCUUGAUCGUAGUGCCCCCAAAAACCUUUCUCUCAUUUAUGGUCUUUCCAUAAGGUCUGGGUGCUCAAAGAUGUUCCAAGACACUUGUGGAGCAUCCUGAGUUGUACAUGGGCUGGGCUAGUCCUCACAGGACACUUUCUGUCCCUGCAAGAACUGCUGUCCCUUGACAGGACUGAGCCCUCCACAGACUUUCCGUGCAGCAAGUUCGUCCUCUUUGGUCUUUGGAAAAGGUCUUGCAGUGGUGCAGCCCCUUGAGGAAUGACUAAUUUUGGUGGAAUCAAUCUACCUAGAAAGCUUUUAAUUCUGAAGUAAUUCUUUGCUCAGGGCUAUUGUGGCAUCAGUUACUUUGUGCCUUGCUGCAGUUUCACUGCAGGAGGGAGUGAACAAGCCCCAUCCCUUGUUUAAACUUGCAUAAGGUGACAUAAUGGCAGGGUGGAGGGGAACAAAAACCUCAGCACAGUAAUGUACAGGACCGGGUAUCAUAGUCCCCAGCAGAAGGAGGGUCUCUUCGCUUGCCAGAGCUGGUCACUUCACCUGGUGGCACAGCCAGCAUUGGUGCAGGCUGAGUCGGCAGGGGCUGGGGUUACUCUGUGGCCAGGGUGUAGCAGGGACAAAGAGACAGGGGAGUUCCCCAAGACUCCCACUGCCUGUUGUUCCCACAGCUGUCCAUCUGCACAGCUGGAGACCUCCGGGGGUGAGUGACACCAG